Molecule: unclassified non-coding RNA, 314 nt
Filed under: Laccaria sp.
Lineage: Eukaryota; Fungi; Basidiomycota; Agaricomycetes; Agaricales; Hydnangiaceae
Description: partial internal transcribed spacer region
Rfam family: Eukaryotic small subunit ribosomal RNA (bases 1-46)
Source: RNAcentral
AAGUCGUAACAAGGUUUCCGUAGGUGAACCUGCGGAAGGAUCAUUAUUGAAUAAACCUGAUGUGACUGUUAGCUGGCUUUUCGAAGCAUGUGCUCGUCCAUCAUCUUUAUCUCUCCACCUGUGCACAUUUUGUAGUCUUGGAUACCACUCGAGGAAACUCGGAUUUUAGGAUCGCCGUGCUGUACAAGUCGGCUUUUCUUUCAUUUCCAAGACUAUGUUUUUAUAUACACCAAAGUAUGUUUAUAGAAUGUUAUCAAUGGGAACUUGUUUCCUAUAAAAUUAUACAACUUUCAGCAACGGAUCUCUUGGCUCUC